UUGUAGUCAUUUGCUUGUCUCAAAGCUUAAGCCAUGCAAGUCUCAGUACAAGCCGAAUUAAGGUGAAACCGCAAACGGCUCAUUAAAUCAGUUUUAGUUCACUUGAGUAGCAAACAUCCGUUUCUGGAUAACUGUGGCAAUUCUAGAGCUAAUACAUGCAAACAAAGUCCCGACCAGUGAUGGAAAGGACGCUUUUAUUAGAUCAAAAUCAAUCGGCGGUAACCCCUCUUUGCAGGGUGCGUGCCGCCGUUUAUUUUGGUGACUCUGAAUAACAAACCGGAUCGCACGGUCCUCGCACCGGCGACCCAUCUUUCAAAUGCCUGACUUAUCAACUGUCGAUGGUAGAUUUUACGUCUACCAUGGUUGUAACGGGUAACGGGGAAUCAGGGUUCGAUUCCGGAGAGGGAGCCUGAGAAACGGCUACCACAUCCAAGGAAGGCAGCAGGCACGCAAAUUACCCACUCCCGGCACGGGGAGGUAGUGACAAAAAAUAACGAUACGGGACUCAUCCGAGGCCCCGUAAUCGGAAUGAGAACACUCUAAAUCAUUUAACAAGGACCUAUUGGAGGGCAAGUCUGGUGCCAGCCAAGCCGCGA
Molecule: ribosomal RNA, 596 nt
Filed under: Lethocerus annulipes
Lineage: Eukaryota; Metazoa; Arthropoda; Insecta; Hemiptera; Belostomatidae
Description: bacterial SSU rRNA
Rfam family: Eukaryotic small subunit ribosomal RNA
Source: RNAcentral